UAUAUAUAUAUAUAUAUAUAUGCUCACCGGUCUCCAAAUCUACAAUCCAGCUCCAGCCAUCAUUAAAUUAUAAUAAUCACAUUGAAAUAUCCAGCAAAAAGUAAUUAGUGGCAGUUAAAUUAUAAUAAAUAAAUAAGUUAAUUGACAGAUAAUAAUAAAAAAAUGAACAGAUUAUUUAUCUUUAAUUUCAGCUCAUAAAUUGACUAACACACUUCAUGCUUAAUACAAUAAACUGAUCAAGGAAAAAAAAAGAAGGGAGAAAAGACAAUGGUCAGCUACUACAAAGUUCAGAUCCAUAAAACUAAAGAAUUUAAUAUAAACUUAAAAUCAAUGAAAUGUAUCAAAUGCAACACUAAAAGAAAUCAGUGAGAGAGCACCUUCAGUGGUCCAGAAGUAAUCAA
RNAcentral lists this unclassified non-coding RNA (401 nucleotides) under Hevea brasiliensis (rubber tree). Lineage: Eukaryota; Viridiplantae; Streptophyta; Magnoliopsida; Malpighiales; Euphorbiaceae. The record is from RNAcentral.